RNAcentral lists this ribosomal RNA (114 nucleotides) under Chinchilla lanigera (long-tailed chinchilla). Lineage: Eukaryota; Metazoa; Chordata; Mammalia; Rodentia; Chinchillidae. The record is from RNAcentral.
GUUUACGGCCAUACCACCCUGAGCACACACGAUCUCGUCUGAUCUCGGAAGCUGAGCAGGGUUGGGCCUGGUUAGUACUUGGAUGGCAGAAAAAAAAUGAAGGUGGUGUAUAAA